This 1461-nucleotide ribosomal RNA is filed under the name bacterium WHC4-8. RNAcentral's name for it is "bacterial SSU rRNA". It matches the Rfam family "Bacterial small subunit ribosomal RNA". The record is from RNAcentral.
AGAGUUUGAUCCUGGCUCAGAAGGAACGCUGGCAGCGUGCAUAACACAUGCAAGUUGAACGGGAUUGUUAUCUUCGGAUAACAUGAGAGUAGCGAACGGGUGAGUAACACGUAAGAAUCUACCUUUAGGACGGGGAUAACUUCUGGAAACGGAUGCUAAUACCCGAUAUGCUGUGGAGUGAAAGAAUUUUCGCCUAAAGAUGAGCUUGCGUCUGAUUAGCUAGAUAGGGUGGUAAUGGCACACUAUGGCGACGAUCAGUAGCUGGUCUGAGAGGAUGGACAGCCACAUUGGAACUGAGACACGGUCCAAACUCCUACGGGAGGCAGCAGUGGGGAAUUUUCCGCAAUGGGCGAAAGCCUGACGGAGCGACGCUGCGUGAAGGAUGACGGCCUGCGGGUUGUAAACUUCUUUUCUCGAAGAAGAAUCAAUGACGGUAUUCGAGGAAUAAGCAUCGGCUAACUCUGUGCCAGCAGCCGCGGUAAGACAGAGGAUGCAAGUGUUAUUCGGAUUGAUUGGGCGUAAAGCGUCUGUAGGCGGUUUAGAAAGUCUCUUGUGAAAUUCUUCAGCUCAACUGAGGGUCCGCAAAAGAAACUUCUAGGCUUGAGGGAAGUAGAGGUAUAGGGAAUUUCCGGUGGAGCGGUGAAAUGCGUAGAUAUCGGAAGGAACACCAAUAUGGCGAAGGCACUGUACUGGGCUUUUCCUGACGCUAAGAGACGAAAGCUAAAGGAGUGAUUAGGAUUAGAUACCCUAGUAAUUUUAGCCGUAAACGAUGGAAACUCACUGCCGAGCCGGUAUUCGGAGCGGUGGUCAAGCUAACGCGUGAAGUUUCCCGCCUGGGGAUUACGCAUGCAAAUGUGAAACUCAAAGGAAUUGACGGGGACCCGCACAAGCGGUGGAGUAUGUGGUUUAAUUCGAUGCAACGCGAAGAACCUUACCUGGUCUUGACAUAUCUAGAAUCCUGCAGAGAUGCGGGAGUGCCUUCGGGAAUUAGAAUACAGGUGCUGCAUGGCUGUCGUCAGCUCGUGUCGUGAGAUGUUGGGUUAAGUCCCGCAACGAGCGCAACCCUUGUCCUUAGUUACCAGCGGGUUAAGCCGGGAACUCUAAGGAUACUGCCAGUGACAAACUGGAGGAAGGCGGGGACGACGUCAAGUCAUCAUGGCCCUUACGACCAGGGCUACACACGUGCUACAAUGGUAGGUACAGAGGGCAGCUACACAGCGAUGUGAUGCGAAUCUUUCAAAGCCUAUCGUAGUCCAGAUUGGAGUCUGCAACUCGACUCCAUGAAGUAGGAAUCGCUAGUAAUCGCGGAUCAGAAUGCCGCGGUGAAUACGUUCCCGGGCCUUGUACACACCGCCCGUCACACCAUGGGAGUUGAUUGCACCAGAAGUGGUUAGCCUAACUUAGUGAGGGCGAUCACCACGGUGUGGUUGAUGACUGGGGUGAAGUCGUAACAAGGUAACC